RNAcentral lists this ribosomal RNA (306 nucleotides) under uncultured bacterium. Its description in RNAcentral is "partial 16S ribosomal RNA". It matches the Rfam family "Bacterial small subunit ribosomal RNA", at positions 9 to 315 of the family's 1533-position model. The record is from RNAcentral.
GAGUUUGAUCGUGGCUCAGGACGAACGCUGGCGGCGUGCCUAACACAUGCAAGUCGAACGAUGAAACCGCCCUCGGGCGACAUGAAGUGGCGAACGGGUGAGUAACACGUGACCAACCUGCCCCCCGCUCCGGGACAGCCGCGGGAAACCGCGAUUAAUACCGGACGACGCCCCCCUGCCGCAUGGGAGGGGGGCCAAAGCCCAGGCGGCGGGGGAUGGGGUCGCGGCCCAUCAGGUAGUAGGCGGGGUGACGGCCCACCUAGCUUUCGACGGGUAGCCGGGUUGAGAGACCGACCGGCCACAUUG